This 250-nucleotide ribosomal RNA is filed under the name uncultured prokaryote. RNAcentral describes it as "partial 16S ribosomal RNA". It matches the Rfam family "Bacterial small subunit ribosomal RNA", at positions 524 to 773 of the family's 1533-position model. The record is from RNAcentral.
UACGUAGGUGGCAAGCGUUAUCCGGAUUUACUGGGUGUAAAGGGCGCGUAGGCGGGGAUGCAAGUCAGAUGUGAAAUCUAUGGGCUUAACUCAUAAACUGCAUUUGAAACUGUAUCUCUUGAGUGCUGGAGAGGUAGACGGAAUUCCUUGUGUAGCGGUGAAAUGCGUAGAUAUAAGGAAGAACACCAGUGGCGAAGGCGGUCUACUGGACAGUAACUGACGCUGAGGCGCGAGAGCGUGGGGAGCAAAC